Molecule: unclassified non-coding RNA, 327 nt
Filed under: uncultured Ophiostomataceae
Lineage: Eukaryota; Fungi; Ascomycota; Sordariomycetes; Ophiostomatales
Description: sequence contains ITS1
Rfam family: 5.8S ribosomal RNA (bases 1-106)
Source: RNAcentral
CAAAUGCGAUACGCAAUGCGAAUUGCAGAAUUCCGCGAGUCAUCAGAUCUUUGAACGCAAGUGGCGCUGGGUUAACCAAUACCCCAGCAUGUUUGUUUCAGUGUGUUAGGAAUCAUAAAUCUUAAUGCGGUUGAAUAUAUUAACGUAUUUUCUCCCGUUAAACAUGAAAGCGCUGAAUCGUUUCAGUGCCGACCGAAGUAGUCACUUCUUGUAAGUGAUCUCGGUUGUGCUAAUAACUGAAGAUUCAUCUACAAGCGUCUUUUUAAUAUUAAAUCUAUAUUCUCCAUUCAACACCUGAAAUCAGGCGGGACUACCCGCUGAGUUUAA